AACGCGAAGAACCUUACCCAGGCUCGAAAUGUAAAGGACGGUAUCAGAGAUGAUACUUUCCGCAAGGACUUUUAUAUAGGUGCUGCAUGGCUGUCGUCAGCUCGUGCCGUGAGGUGUUGGGUUAAGUCCCGCAACGAGCGCAACCCUUAUCCCUAGUUGCCAUCGGGUCAAGCCGGGCACUCUAGUGAAACCGCCCAGGAUAACUGGGAGGAAGGUGGGGAUGACGUCAAGUCCUCAUGGCCUUUAUGUCCAGGGCUACACACGUGCUACAAUGGUCGGUACAAACCGUCGCAAACCCGCGAGGGGGAGCUAAUCGGAAAAAGCCGGACCUCAGUUCGGAUUGGAGUCUGCAACCCGACUCCAUGAAGCUGGAAUCGCUAGUAAUCGCGGAUCAGAACGCCGCGGUGAAUACGUUCCCGGGACCUUGUACACACCGGAGUA
RNAcentral lists this ribosomal RNA (441 nucleotides) under uncultured bacterium. RNAcentral describes it as "bacterial SSU rRNA". It matches the Rfam family "Bacterial small subunit ribosomal RNA", at positions 958 to 1398 of the family's 1533-position model. The record is from RNAcentral.